This 84-nucleotide transfer RNA is filed under the name Spirochaetaceae bacterium. RNAcentral's name for it is "tRNA-Leu". It matches the Rfam family "tRNA". From Rfam's summary of the family: Transfer RNA (tRNA) molecules are approximately 80 nucleotides in length. Lineage: Bacteria; Pseudomonadati; Spirochaetota; Spirochaetia; Spirochaetales; Spirochaetaceae. The record is from RNAcentral.
GCCCGAAUGGCGGAACUGGUAGACGCGCUAGAUUCAGGUUCUAGUGGGGGUAACCCCGUGGAGGUUCAAGUCCUCUUUCGGGCA